GAUGAACGCUGGCGGCGUGCCUAAUACAUGCAAGUCGAGCGAACAGAUGAGGAGCUUGCUCCUCUGACGUUAGCGGCGGACGGGUGAGUAACACGUGGAUAACCUACCUAUAAGACUGGGAUAACUUCGGGAAACCGGAGCUAAUACCGGAUAAUAUAUUGAACCGCAUGGUUCAAUAGUGAAAGACGGUUUUGCUGUCACUUAUAGAUGGAUCCGCGCCGCAUUAGCUAGUUGGUAAGGUAACGGCUUACCAAGGCAACGAUGCGUAGCCGACCUGAGAGGGUGAUCGGCCACACUGGAACUGAGACACGGCCCAGACUCCUACGGGAGGCAGCAGUAGGGAAUCUUCCGCAAUGGGCGAAAGCCUGACGGAGCAACGCCGCGUGAGUGAUGAAGGUCUUCGGAUCGUAAAACUCUGUUAUUAGGGAAGAACAAAUGUGUAAGUAACUGUGCACGUCUUGACGGUACCUAAUCAGAAAGCCACGGCUAACUACGUG
Molecule: ribosomal RNA, 497 nt
Filed under: uncultured bacterium
Lineage: Bacteria
Description: partial 16S ribosomal RNA
Rfam family: Bacterial small subunit ribosomal RNA
Source: RNAcentral